Rhipicephalus microplus (southern cattle tick) is the source of this 601-nucleotide long non-coding RNA. The record is from RefSeq and is a predicted model, not a curated record. Lineage: Eukaryota; Metazoa; Arthropoda; Arachnida; Ixodida; Ixodidae.
UUCAUUUUGUAGACUCGUCUGAAUAGCUUUGUUCGCCGUUAUUGUAGCGCCAACGUGGCUUUGACGUUGCGGAGAUUCGUCCAGUUCGCCAAACAUAUUUGAAAACGGGGUCAUGUGAGGUAUCAGUAAGGAGUGGAUUCGUGGUAUCGACGGUACCAACGCGGAACGUCAAACGCACACAAUGGACAGCACCUUCACGACGAAAUGUGUGUAAUGCAUUACCGUCAAGCAGCCGACAUUCGCAGGUUCUUUGCAUUUGGCGUCCCGUGUGCAGUGCCAUUUGCUCAUGUCCGUACAAGGUGGACUGCAUUCCUUCUGGCAGUGCACCGACGUGAUCAAGGACAGGAGAAACGUGAAAAGACACCUUUGCAUUCACCUAAGCAAUCAUUUCUUCCAGUACUGCAUGGGCUCAACCAAAUUUACUCGGAGCAACAGUCUCAGUGUGUUCAUAUUCGCACAAAAUUGCUCCACUUUUCUGUGUUCACUGAACCUAUGUGACCCAAGACAGCAGAAAUAUAUUUACCCACUUGUGAUCAGCCAGAACCGUGAUGUCAAAAUUACCUCAUUGAACUCAAAAAAAAAUUUUUCCAGUUUCAUGGUA